This 512-nucleotide ribosomal RNA is filed under the name uncultured bacterium. Its description in RNAcentral is "bacterial SSU rRNA". It matches the Rfam family "Bacterial small subunit ribosomal RNA", at positions 340 to 842 of the family's 1533-position model. The record is from RNAcentral.
UACGGGAGGCAGCAGUGGGGAAUUUUGGACAAUGGGCGCAAGCCUGAUCCAGCCAUUCCGCGUGCAGGAUGAAGGCCUUCGGGUUGUAAACUGCUUUUGUACGGAACGAAAAGGUUCUCUCUAAUACAGGGGGCUGAUGACGGUACCGUAAGAAUAAGCACCGGCUAACUACGUGCCAGCAGCCGCGGUAAUACGUAGGGUGCAAGCGUUAAUCGGAAUUACUGGGCGUAAAGCGUGCGCAGGCGGUGAUGUAAGACAGAUGUGAAAUCCCCGGGCUCAACCUGGGAACUGCAUUUGUGACUGCAUUGCUGGAGUGCGGCAGAGGGGGAUGGAAUUCCGCGUGUAGCAGUGAAAUGCGUAGAUAUGCGGAGGAACACCGAUGGCGAAGGCAAUCCCCUGGGCCUGCACUGACGCUCAUGCACGAAAGCGUGGGGAGCAAACAGGAUUAGAUACCCCUGGUAGUCCACGCCCUAAAGCGAUGUCAACUGGUUGUUGGGAAUUUACUUUCUCCA